AGUGCGUGCGUGAGCGAGUGAGCGAAAAGGAGAGCGCGCGGCGGACGCGCCCGGGACGCGCGGCGGCACCGGGAGGCCGGGCCGAGCGGUCUUAAAACAUUUUGGAAAAAGUUGAAGCUCCCCUUUUCUACCCUCCUGAUUCUGUGCUUCUGUUGGAGUGCAUAUCACUUGAUGGCUUCUAAGACAAAUGCUAAAUUCUUGUCAGAUUACACAGCCCUCCCUAUCCUGAAGACAUUAGCUGAGAGUCUGGCACCUUUUAAAAGUCUGAUCAUCAAUUGUCUCUCUGGGCGGCCACCUAUGAGACUUCAUCUGUGUGGUUAUACCUUAUUGGUGUGGAUGUUGUCUAAAUUUCGGUAGCCAUGGCACAAGAAUAUAGUGGACUUACAGUUUCUGGCUACUACUGGUGGAAAAUGAUGGGCUCAGACAAGAGAAAGCAUGGGAUUAUGGCAACCACAGAAUCUCAGUAGUACAAGUUCCAUUCAGUUUUUUCUGAAAGAAAGCCCUCUGUUAAAGUGAAGCAAAGAAACUGUUGUGGAUUAUAACGUUUAGAAG
RNAcentral lists this small RNA (552 nucleotides) under Pan troglodytes (chimpanzee). Its description in RNAcentral is "processed transcript". The record is from RNAcentral. Lineage: Eukaryota; Metazoa; Chordata; Mammalia; Primates; Hominidae.